RNAcentral lists this long non-coding RNA (511 nucleotides) under Scleropages formosus (Asian bonytongue). RNAcentral describes it as "lncRNA (ENSSFOG00015030233.1)". Lineage: Eukaryota; Metazoa; Chordata; Actinopteri; Osteoglossiformes; Osteoglossidae. The record is from RNAcentral.
GGAGAGAUAUUUUUGUCAAAAACUGUACACAGGCUGCAUUUUGAUGCAUUUUGUUGUCUCAGGUGAACCAGGAGAGCCAGGAAGAAUCACGACUGGAGCUGGCUCCAACUCUGUCAUGAUCCCUGGACCUCCAGGAAGCCCUGGUCCCCCUGGUCCUCCAGGACUGUCAGGUCUCAUUGGUCCAGCUGGAAUACCUGGAGAACGUGGCCCAAAAGGUGAGAAAGGAGAUAAAGGAGAGCCUGGGAUUUCUGUAAAAACCACUGGAACAGUCAGAUCUGCCCAAACUGAAAGUGGACAAUCUGCAGCUCCUAUUCCUGGACCACCUGGACCCCCGGGACCCCCCGGACCACCUGGCCCUCCAGGAGAAGCAAAAGAAGGUCCUCCAGGUCUACCAGGACUGCCAGGAGUUGGUAAUCCUGGACCCCGAGGAGCAAAAGGAGAGCCAGGAAGCUUUGUCCCAACUUCAGGUGCGUGAAAUAAAGAAAAGGUUGGUCUUAUAAAUAUUUUAAAA